Molecule: ribosomal RNA, 492 nt
Filed under: uncultured bacterium
Lineage: Bacteria
Description: partial 16S ribosomal RNA
Rfam family: Bacterial small subunit ribosomal RNA
Source: RNAcentral
AGUGAACGCUGGCGGUAGGCCUAACACAUGCAAGUCGAACGGCAGCACAGUAAGAGCUUGCUCUUACGGGUGGCGAGUGGCGGACGGGUGAGGAAUACAUCGGAAUCUACUUUUUCGUGGGGGAUAGCGUAGGGAAACUUACGCUAAUACCGCAUACGACCUACGGGUGAAAGCAGGGGAUCUUCGGACCUUGCGCGAUUGAAUGAGCCGAUGUCGGAUUAGCUAGUUGGCGGGGUAAAGGCCCACCAAGGCGACGAUCCGUAGCUGGUCUGAGCGGAUGAUCAGCCACACUGGAACUGAGACACGGUCCAGACUCCUGCGGGAGGCAGCAGUGGGGAAUAUUGGACAAUGGGCGCAAGCCUGAUCCAGCCAUACCGCGUGGGUGAAGAAGGCCUUCGGGUUGUAAAGCCCUUUUGUUGGGAAAGAAAAGCAGCAGGUUAAUACCCCGCUGUUCUGACGGUACCCAAAGAAUAAGCACCGGCUAACUUCGUG